GAUGAACGCUGGCGGCGUGCCUAACACAUGCAAGUCGAGCGAAGCACUUUGCUUAGAUUCUUCGGAUGAAGAGGAUUGUGACUGAGCGGCGGACGGGUGAGUAACGCGCGGGUAACCUGCCUCAUACAGGGGGAUAACAGUUAGAAAUGACUGCUAAUACCGCAUAAGACCACAGCACCGCAUGGUGCGGGGGUAAAAACUCCGGUGGUAUGAGAUGGACCCGCGUCUGAUUAGCUAGUUGGUAAGGUAACGGCUUACCAAGGCGACGAUCAGUAGCCGACCUGAGAGGGUGACCGGCCACAUUGGGACUGAGACACGGCCCAAACUCCUACGGGAGGCAGCAGUGGGGAAUAUUGCACAAUGGGGGAAACCCUGAUGCAGCGACGCCGCGUGAGCGAAGAAGUAUUUCGGUAUGUAAAGCUCUAUCAGCAGGGAAGAAAAUGACGGUACCUGACUAAGAAGCACCGGCUAAAUACGUGCCAGCAGCCGCGGUAAUACGUAUGGUGCAAGCGUUAUCCGGAUUUACUGGGUGUAAAGGGAGCGUAGACGGAUGGGCAAGUCUGAUGUGAAAACCCGGGGCUCAACCCCGGGACUGCAUUGGAAACUGUUCAUCUAGAGUGCUGGAGAGGUAAGUGGAAUUCCUAGUGUAGCGGUGAAAUGCGUAGAUAUUAGGAGGAACACCAGUGGCGAAGGCGGCUUACUGGACAGUAACUGACGUUGAGGCUCGAAAGCGUGGGGAGCAAACAGGAUUAGAUACCCUGGUAGUCCACGCCGUAAACGAUGACUACUA
Molecule: ribosomal RNA, 790 nt
Filed under: uncultured organism
Description: SSU rRNA
Rfam family: Bacterial small subunit ribosomal RNA
Source: RNAcentral